RNAcentral lists this long non-coding RNA (40561 nucleotides) under Citrus maxima (pomelo). Its description in RNAcentral is "long non-coding RNA (CMAX_LNC000494)". The record is from RNAcentral. Lineage: Eukaryota; Viridiplantae; Streptophyta; Magnoliopsida; Sapindales; Rutaceae.
CCCAACUCUCAUACACUGGCCUUCCAUAGCACCAAUCAUACUGCCUCUCUCGCCCGUAGCCAAGCUGGUAACACGGUCCCCCACCACGCCCCUCAGAACAUUCCGUGCAACAUGCCCUAACAGGUGAGUAACACGGUCCACCACCACGCCCCUCGGAACAUUCCCUGCAACAUGCCCUAACAGGUGAGUAACACGGUCCCCCACCACGCCCCUCGGAACAUUCCCUGCAACAUGUCCUAAUUGGUGAGUAACACGGUCCCCCACCACGCCCCUCGGAACAUUCCCUGCAACAUGUCCUAACGGGUAGGUAACACGGAACGGGCUCCGGAGCCGGUGCCGGUGCCGGAGGCGGCGGUGGGGCUGGUGAUGGUUUUGGUUGGGGAGCCGGUGCCGGGGGUGGUGGCGAUGGUGAAGGUUUCGGUGGUGGUGGUGACGGUUUUGGUUCCGGAGCCGGUGCCGGCGGUGGUUUUGGUUUUGGCGGCGGCGGCGGCUUUGGCUUUGGUGGUUCCAGGAUUUCAAUAGUCUUGAUUGAACCAUCACCUUUGCAGCAUAGCUUGUCCCUGAUCUUUUCAGGACUGCAGCACACUACUUUUAUUGUCACCGUAUUCGUCUUCUCAUCGAAAAACUGUUCUUGUAUUUCUUUGGUCAAAAAGUUCAAACACAAUAUCUUAGCCCACCAUCCGCCAGCCAUUUUUUUAUUUGCAAACACAAAAUAAACAAUUCUACUUGCGCCUCACCAAAUGACACGCGAAUUCAGAAUUUUAUGCCAUUAUAAAACAUUUUACGAAACCAUAAUAUAUAAUAUAUGUAAAUGGACAUGGCCAGCGAUCAGAGAGACACUUACGUGGGAAUUUGCACAGUACUUUCUUGACUUUCUUGUAGCACUUUGAGCACUGAAGGUUAACCUUCAGCACCAUUAUUGUAACCUUCUGUAAACAAUAGUACACAGAUAAUACAAAAGUAUUUUUCAGCAGGCUAAUUAAUUAAAGAUAAAAGAGAGACAUUUAAUUAAUUUCUGACAUGAAAGAAUCAGCAAGGUAACUAUAUAUCUCCGUGUAUAUAUACACUAUAAGCUAUCAUCACGAAAGAUCGAUCGAUGCACAGCACAAACUUAACCAAAAGGGGAAUUACGAACCUUCUCUCCCAUAGCUGCUCGGAUCUGAACCUCAGGAAACCGGACACUGAUUAUUUGAAGCGUUAAUGUGACAGCAGGUAUGGAAAAGGGUCUUAUAAAUAAGUGCGCCAAUUUGAAACUUGUUUAAGAAGGGAAGGAAAAGUAAGGGCUUGAAUUCCGUACAUUAUACAUAACCAAUUAUCUGCCGACACGUCUUAUUGGAUGACGUCGAAUUUCAUGAUAUCAUCAAGGUUGUCGUUAUCUCCGUACAUAGUAAGUCUUUCUUCACAUUUAUGUAUGAUUGCUGACUCACCCAUUCUCCAUUGCAUUUGCAUGUGCUGCCUUUUGAUUGAUUGCCCUUUUCUCUGUUUUUCUUUUUUUUUUUUUGCUUUGCUUUUUUUUUUUCUUUUAUGUCUAAAGGAAAAUUUUUUGUCUUUCUCAUUUGAGCAAUAGUCAUAUUUCUUUACCUAAUUGAAAAUUAAAAAUAAAAAUAAAUAAGGGAAAAUGGACUUUAAUUGAACAACUGAUGUGAGAUCUAGGUAUAGAAAUUUACAUUCACCAACUCUUCCUAACCGUCAAAUUUGAUGCAUUUUUCGAACCCAGCACCUUGUGCCAUGGAUCGAGCAUUCAUUCUACAAACAGAGUAAUUGAUGAAAUAAUUUAAUCGAGCUAUUGGAAGUUUCACCAACCUAAAGUAAUCAUUGUCCUUAACCCAUAAACAAAGGGCCCAAUGAUCAAUUAAUAUAAGCUUUUGGAAGUUCAACCAAUCCCCGUAAGUAUACCUCCAACACUAAGGUAGCUAUUAUGGGCUUGUGGGACCCGCAUACUUAAUGCCUAAGUUAAGUGUCACAUCACUAAUUUAAUUUUAGAUUGGCCACACUCCAAGUAAUUAAAAAAGAUAAUGUUAUUAGUUUACCAGAAGCAGUUGUGACGCCUUGGCACCCACCUCCGCUUGGCCAUUUUAAAUUAAAUGUUGAUGCAGUCAUGGGGGAUGGUGGUGUGGGGGCCGUCGAUGGGUUAUCGGUUGCAAUUGAGGCAGGACUGACAUUGUUCAGAGAUUAUUUAAUUUUUAGCUUCGUGGUUUAUGUUGUCCAACGCUAUCUCACCAUUGUUAUUUAAGAUUAUUUUCUGAAACAUUAUCUCACCCAUAUUAUUGUUCAAAAAGAAAUUAAAGUAAAAAGCAGAUGGCCAAUUUAUCUCUUGUAUCAAUUCUUCUAUUCCUCUUCUUCAUUUAUGGUAAAAAUAACCAUUUUUCUUAAGUGUUUUAUGUAGCAUUUUUGUACUUAAUUUAUGCAAUGCUAUAAAAGAUCAAAUUUGAAUUUUAAAGAAUUAUUAUUAUUAUUAUUAUUAUUAUUAUUAUUAUUAUUAUUAUUUAUCAGGAACUGGGAAGAUAAUUGCCGAGACUCAGGAGAUAGAGCUCUGCAAGACAGCUAUUAUGUCCCAAAAAGAAUUUUGCUUUUGAAGCAUCACUUUCCCAAAAAGAAAUUCCAAAAAUUAUGUCUAAUUAAAAUCUUUUAGAAUCUCCCCAAGGUUUGAUUGCAUGGUUUUUAAACAGUUAUAAGCAGUUUUCAAGAAAUUGUUUUUUAUUAGUACUGAUUUGAACCUUAAGGAAGUUUGAGUUAAAAAAAUUGAUUUGGACUUAAUGGACUCCCUUAUCUUUAAAAGAAAAUGUAUCCUGCAGAAUUCGAAAGAAAUAAUUAAAAAAAAAUAAAACAAUGGAAUAAUUCAGAAAGAGAAAAUAAGAAGCACAUGUAAAAAGUAUUUUUCUAAUGAAUUUAUUUCAAUUUUUUGAUUUUAUAAAUAAAAACUCAAGGGUGAAAAAUUUUAAUGAGUAACGGUCGUUAAUGAAAAAUUUUAAUGAGUAAGGGUUGUUAUAUAUUUAACGAUGAAAUUAAAAGAAAAUAGUGUAAAUGAAAAAAAAAAAUAACAGAAGCGAUGAGAGUGAUUCUGAGAAGAGUUAGAGAUUAUUGUGGGUUGUCUAUGGUAUAGAGUAGGAAGAUUAAGUUAAAUAAAUUAGUUUGAUUUAUCUAAAUAAAUUAUUUCAUUAUAAAAUAGAAUUUACUCAUUGGUAAAGUACUGUAUAGAUGUUUUGGUUUUAUAUAAAUUUAUUAGAAGAGAUGAAUAUAAGGAGUAUUUUUAUCGAAUUCAAAAAGCUCAUAACUUUUCACUUGUAAUCAAUUUUUCUACCAUAAAUUUUUGUAUGAUUUUGGUCCCUAUGGGUAGAAGAAUUUAAAGGGGGCCAAAAUCAUAGAGGUAAACGUUUAGGGGUCAAAGUCUAAAAAGAGUAAAUUAUUUUGGUAAAAUGUCAAGAUAAAUUAAAGUUUCAGAGCCACCUCCCGCCUUUUUUUCAUUUAGCAAAAUAAUACUUUCAUGUAUUAUGCCGAGGUAGAUGUGAUGGACCUUUUUAAUAUUUAAAUUUUAUGAUAAAUAAUGAUGUGUCAUUUAUAAGAGAAAUUUUAUAAUAUAUUAGAGGUAGUACAUCAACUAAUACAUGUAUGACAUGUAUAUAUAGACUUGAUAUAACCUUUAUUUGCAUAAUAAUUUUUUAAAAUAAAUGUACAUAUAUUAUAAUAUAACUUGUUUAUUGUAUACCUGAUAUGAUACAUCUGAUUUAUUUUAGAAUUUUUCAUGUGAUUAAAAUUUUUUAUAAAGUUCUAAAUAAAUUAUUUUAUACCUGACAUUACUAUUGAAGAAUAUAUUGACAGAUAUUGUGGAAUAUUUAUAUGUAACUUAUUAGAAUUUAUACAAAAAUUGCAUAUAAAAUUACGAGAGCUUCUGUUCACUUUAAAUUAAUCAAUCUAACAAGAAUUUAAUUAAGGCUUCAUGCAUAUAACAAAGGCGAAGUGUAAGUUGUAAAAAGGCCAAAAAAAAAAUGUAUUGACAAUUUUCCAUUCUAGAUUCUAAAUUUCAAUAAACAUCUAAUUUAUCAACAAGCAUGUUCGUUCUUUUUAUGAUUGAAUGUUGAAAUAAACAGUGUAAGAUCCAUCUCUUAUGCUUGGUAAUGGCACCAAAAGAAAACUCCUCUUUGCUCCCUUUGCAACAAAGCGGAUAGGAUGAUAAUUCUUUUUCCAUUGCGAAGCAAACUACACUGUUAUAUCCAAACUCUGUUGACACUGAAUUGCAACUGACCUUCAUGCUUUCGCCCGAUUUCAAGUUAACACUAGUAGAAACGAAGCAACCCUUUUGGGUUACUGACUCCAAGGCUACUGUUUCAGCCUUUCCAUCCCAUCCGGUAACAAGGCGAAAAAUGGAGGAGCCAUGAACACUAGAAGAGUCUGCGACAACAAGUUCAUCAUCUGUUCCUUGCACUACAAGCAUUCCUGGGGAAGCAAAUAGUUCUAGCAUGACUGAUCUGCCAAUUGCAUCGCUGAGGGAUGAAAAUUCGGAGGAAGGUUUAUCGUUUAAGAUGAAUCUUAAAGUGGCUUGAAGGGCAAUGUCAGUGCCAGAUUUAGGGGAUUCUGCCAUUGGAAUAGAUUGUCAAGACAAAAGUCGAGUUUCUGGAAACUUUGGAAAAUGUGACCAGCUGAAAUUAUAUGAUGCAGGAAUUGGAGCAACAACUUCUGAAAGAGAUGUUGCUGAUUCAGUCCUGAUAUCGGAGUCCCCAUUGCUGUAGCUCGUAGGCAGAUAAGACCGUGGUGAAUGGCCGAUCAGCUGAAGAAGAAAAAAGAUUUUCAGUCAAAGAUUUUUCAUUGAUAACAGAAAUUGUAAACAAAACAGUUCAUGAAGAUUCCAUCGAUAGGCUCUGUCCUUAGAAUAAGGGGCAGCUGAAUGGUUAAUUUGUCAUCAUAUGUCCAUGCUGUGGUGAUACUUGGAAAUUUCGUGCAUCGGGAAUGUAACUGUUUGUUACAUGUCUUUAUAAAAGAUGAAACCCCACUUUUAAUUUUUCUAUCUGAAAUAAAAAAUUGAAAAACAAUCAAAGAUAUUAUAAUUCAGCACCUGCCGAUGGUAGAGGCAAAUCCUGGCCAUUUAAUGUUGCCUUUGCUCCAUUAGUAUUUGUCCACCUCGAUAUUCUGAAACCAAAGGAUAGUGAUCGAGCUGCUCCCUGGAUAUACAUCAAAUCCAGAAUGUGUGAUGGAUGAACUUCUCAUUACAAUGUUAAAAAAUAAACACCAAGUUUGAUAGCCAGUACCUUAGGAAGAAAUGUGAAUGUGAUAUGACGAUAAGGAUCUGAAGAAACAACAGGAUCAACUUUCUGGUUGGGCAGAAUAUGUCCAGAUUUCCAAUCAAGUGAGCUCGAUAUGUACCGAAUGAUGUAAAGACCAGGAUAUAAUCCUUCCUCUUCAAAGUAAAUUGAAUAUCCCAACUUUGCGAAUGACUUAAUUCCUCCAUGGGAAACAAGAAUAAAAUCUAGUAUACCAAUUGGCGGAAACUGUGCAAAUUUAGAAAGCAACUCAUGAGAUUCAAGAACAUUGAGAGUAAAGAGAAAAAAUGGGCAAUGAAUACCAGACAUGUGCCAUAACAGCACCAGAAUGAAUUUAAUUAAUGCGUAAACAAAUUUUAUUCAACUUUAUUUCUAAUCCAGUCAUUAACAUUCUUAUAGCAAUUUAACUCUAAGAUUUACCUAACACAUACGACUACUUUUAAAACUCACGACACUUUUUAAAAUAAAUUUUACUAAAUGUUUAAUUGAUUCUCUUUACAGUUGAAUAUAUUUAUAAUACAGCUAACAAUAAUUAUUUUAAAAAAUACAUCAUUACCAAAUAGGCCGCCAAUAAUUGGAAAACUAAUUGUAGCAUUAACAAACUCUACAUUCACCAACCUUUAUUUAUCUUUGAUUUUCCUAUAGAGUCUAUAUUACCCAAAAUGUUAAAGAUUAAACCAGCAUACAAGAAGCAACUAGAAGAAAGUAAACGAUAUGAUCACUGACGAUUACCAUUCAUGAUCAUUGAUUUAUGAGAUUGUGCAAGACAGUGGUGGAUUUCCUUCACAGGUGGAAUCUAACGACCACGGGUGCAAAUGAACAGCGACCACAAGUGCAAUAUGAACAGCGACCACAAGUGCAAUCUGACCAGCGACCUCUCCAAUAAACUCUAUUAUGGCAGCUACCACCCCAGCUCUCAUACACUAGUCUUGCAUAGAUCACAAUGCCUCUCUUGCCCCAAGCCAAGCUGGUGACACGGUCCCCAACCAUGACCCUCAGAACAUUGCUUGCAACAUACCCUAACCGAUGUGUAACACGGCACUGGCACCAGGGGUGGUAGUGGUGGUUUUGGGUUUUCCCCAUCCGGUUGUGGCGGGUUUUUUUUUAUCCCCAUCCGGUUGUGGUGGUUUUUUGUUAUCCCCAUUCGGUUGUGGCGGGUUUUUUUUAUCCCCAUCCGGUUGUGGCGGUUUUUUGUUAUCCCCAUCCAGUUGUGGUGGUCUAGGGUUAGGCUUUUUAUCAGGUUCCAGGAUUUCAAUAGUCUUGAUUGAACCAUCACCUUUGCAGCAUAGCUUGUCCCUGGUCUUUCAGGACUGCAGCACACUACUUUUAUUGUCACCGUAUUUGUCUUCUCAUCGAAAAACUUUUCUUGUAUUUCUUUGGUCAAAAAGUUCAAACACAAUAUCUUAGCCCACCAUCCGUCAGCCAUUUUUAUUAUUUACAGACACAAAAUAAACAAUUCUACUUGCGCCUCACCAAAUAACACGCGAAUUCAGAAUUUUAUGUCAUUAUAAAACAUUUUACGAAACCAUAAUAUAUAAUAUAUGUAAAUGGACAUGGCCAGCGAUCAGAGAGACACUUACGUGGGAAUUUGCACAGUACUUUCUUGACUUUCUUGUAGCACUUUGAGCACUGAAGGUUAACCUUCAGCACCAUUAUUGUAACCUUCUGUAAGCAAUAGUACACAGAUAAUACAGAAGUAUUUUUCAGCAGGCUAAUUAAUUAAACAUAAAAAGGGGGACAUUUAAUUAAUUUCUGACAUGAAAGAAUCAGCAAGGUGACUAUAUAUCUGUGUGUGUAUAUACACUAUAAGCUAUCAUCACGAAAGAUCGAUCGAUGCACAGCACAAACUUAACCAAAAGGGGAAUUACAAACCUUCUCUCCCGUAGCUGCUCGGAUCUGAACCUCAGGAAACCGGACACUGAUUAUUUGAAACGUUAAUGUGACAGCAGGUAUGGAAAAGGGUCUUAUAAAUAAGUGAGCCAAUUUGAAACUGGGUUAUUUUUACAUACCUCCCCUGAGAUUUCACGUAAUAACAGUUUAAUAGAAAGUAUGUUGGUAUUAUUACAUCCCUCCCCUGCCGUUAGUAUUUCUGUUAGUUGACUGUUUAUGAGGCAAGAAAAUGACAAAAAUACCCCUUUAAUCCCAGCUGGUAUUUGGCAAUAUUUGACGGUAAAGAUGUGUAAGUAUAUUCAAAAGUCUAAAAUAUCUACAUCAAACAUAAAUUUCACAUUGCUCAGGAGUUUGACAUUUAGGGUAAAAAAAUUAAAAAAUGCUUCCCCAACCAAUUCAACAUCUUCAUCCCAUCCUCAAACACAGCGGGGAACCAAUUCUCCGGCGCCAACUUGUACCCAACCACCACAACAAUCACAUCACAGAGCCUUGCGAUUCCCCCACUCACCCACCCGUCGCCGUGGAACUGCAACAUUACUGGCAGUUUCCUCCUAUUCACAUCCACCGGCUCGUACCCCCUGUGCACAUUCGAUUUCCCAUUCAAACUCAUCGCUUCCGCGUCGGCAUUGCCGUGGCCGCUGUAGCUGCUUCUCUGAUAACUCUUUUUUCCUUGCAGCCACUGCCGCAUUUGGGGAGCCGUAGCUGUUCCUUCGCAGAUGAAGCGGGUCGCGUGGUAGGUUUGCCUUUGCAUUCUUCGAGUUCGCGCGCGGUUUAGGUUUGGAUUGCGGCUAGAGUCAAGCUCGGGAGGGUUUAGUGCAGACUUAGGGAGAAAAAUGCGGACCGAGAGCAACGCAAAAGGAUCGAUGUGGAUAUCCUUAGUGGAAACGCCUUCGAUGAAAGAAAGAUUGGGAGCGGAAACAGAUUCCUCACGUCGGGUUGUGACUCCGAAAUGAUCGGAUUUGUCGAGCGAAGAUUGGAUCCGGUUUUGUAAUCAGUGCUUCAACAGAAACUUGAAGAAAACACUAUAUUGCCAAAUACCAGCUGAGAAAUUGUACCUCUAAGCCUUUAAGGAGUAUUUUCGUCAUUUUUCGGCUCAUAAACGGUCUACUAACAAAAAUACUAAUAGCAGAGGAGGGAUGUAAUAAUACCAUCAUAUUUUCUAUUAAAUUGUUAUUACGUGAAACCUCAGGGGAGGUACGUAAAAAUAACCCAUUUGAAACUUGUUUAAGAAGGGAAGGAAAAGUAAGGGCUUGAAUUCCGUACAUUAUACAUAACCAAUUAUCUGCCGACACGUCUUAUUGGAUGACGUCGAAUUUCAUGAUAUCAUCAAAAUUGUCGUUAUUUCCGUACAUAGUAAGUGUUCCUUCUCAUUUAUGUCUGAUUGCUGACUCUCCCAUCAUCCAUUGCAUUUGCAUCAUUGCAUGUGCUGCCUUUUGACUGAUUGCUCUUUUCUCAUUUUUAUUCGCUUUUCUUUAUCAUCCUUUUUCUAAAGGAAAAUUUUUUGUCUUUUUCAUUUGAGCAAUAGUCAUGUUUCUCUACCUAAUUGAAAAAUAAAAAAAUAAGGGAAAAUGAACUUUAAUUGAACCACUAAUGUGAGAUCUAGGUAUAGAAAUUUACAUUCACCAACUCUCCCAACCGUCAAAUUUGAUGCAUUUUUUGAACCCAAGACCUUUUGCCAUAGAUCGAGUAUUCAUUCUACCGAUGCAAUGAUUUAAUCGAGCUAUUGGAAGUUUAAGCAAUUUCCAUCAACAAAAGCAAUCACAGUCCUUAACCCAUAAACAAAGGGCCCAAUGAUCAAUUAAUGUGAGCUUUUGAAAGUUCAAGCAAUCCCUGUAAGGAUAGCUCCAACGCUAAGCUAGCUAUUAUGGCACGUGGGACCCACAUACUUAAUGCCUGAGUUGGGUCAUGGGUGUUACCUCACUGAUUAAAAGUUACAUCAAUAAUUUAGGUAUAAAUUGGCCAAACACAAAAGUAUUUAAUAAGGGAAGUAAUUUAAAUAUGUAUGUAACUUAACAUUAAUCUUAAAAAAGAUAAUGUUAUUAAUUUACCAAGAAGCAGUUGUGACGCCGUGGCAGCCACCUCAGCGUGGCCAUUUUAAAUUAAAUGUUGACGCAGUCGUGGGGAUUGGUGGUGUGGGGGCCGUCGAUGGGUUAUCCGUUGCAAAUUUGCAAUUGAGGCAGGACUGACCUUGUUCAGAGAUUAUUUCAUUUUUAGCUUCGUGGUUUAUGUCGUUCAACGCUAUCUCACCAUUGUUAUUUAAGAUUAUUUUUUGAAACAGCAUCUCACCCAUAUUAUUGUUCCAAAAGAAAUUAAAGUAAAAACAGAUGGCCAAUUUAUCUCUUGGAUCAAUUCUUCUAUUCCCCUUCUUCAUAUGGUAAAAAUAACCAUUUUUCUCAAGUGUUUUUAUGUAGCAGUUUUGUACUUAAUUUAUGCAAUGCUAAAUAAGAUCAAAUUUGAAUCUUAAAGCAAUAUUAUUAUUAUUAUUAUUAUUAUUAUUAAAUAUCAGGAACAGUGAAGAUAAUGGCCCAGACUCGGGAGAUAGAGCUCUGCAAGACAGCUAUUAUGUCCCAAAAAGAAUUUUGCUUUUGAAGCAUCAUUUUCCCAAAAAGUAAGUACCAAAAAUUAUGUCCAGUUAAAAUCUUUUAGAAUCUCUCCAAGGUCUAAUUGCGUGGUUUUUAGCAGUUAUAAAUUGUUUUUAAGAAGCCAUAUUUGACUGUUCAAUUGAGUUUGAAUCUUGAGGAUUUAUUGAGUUAAAAAAUUAAUUUGGACUUAACCCAUUCCCUUGUCUUUAAAAGAAAAUGUAUCUUGCAGAGUCUGAAAGAAAUAAUUAAAAACAUAAAAUAAGGAAAUAAUUAAUAAAGACAAAAUAAGAAAGAGCAUUUAAAAUGUAUUUUUUUUAAUGUAAUUCUAUUUAUUUCAAUUUUUUUAUUUUAUAAAUAAAAACUCAAGGAUGAAAGAUUUUAAUGAGUAAGGGUUGUUAUAUUUAACGAUGAAAUUGAAACAAAAUAGUGUAAAUGGAAAAAAAAAAUUACAGAAGAGAUGAGAGUGGUUUUGAGAAGAGUUGGGGAUUAUUGUGGAUCGUCUAUGGUAAAGGGUAGGAAGAUGAAGUUAAGUUUGAUUUAUCUAAUAAAUAAAUUAUUUUCAUUAUAAAAAAGAAUUUACUCAAUGGUAAAGUACUGUGUAGAUGUUUUGGUAUUAUAUAAAUUUAUUAGAAGAGAUGAAUAUAAGUAGUAUUUUUAUCGCAUUCAAAAAGCUCACUCAAAUUUUAAUCAUAAAUUUUCACUUGUAAUCAAGUUUUCUACCAUAAAUUUUCGUAUGAUUUUUGUCCCUAUGGGUAGACGGUAGAAGAAUUUAAAGGGGGCCAAAAUCAUAGAGGCAAACGUUUAGGGGUCAAAGUCUAAAAAGAGUAAAUAAUUUUGGUAAAAUGUCAAGAUAAAUUACAGUUUCAGAGCUACCUCCCUCAUUUUCUUCAUUUGGCAAAAUAAUACUUUCAUGUAUUAUCGGGAGGUAUGAUGUGAUGGACUUUUUUAAUAUUUAAAUUUUAUGAUAAAUAAUGUGAUAUAUGAUGUGUCAUUUAUAAGAAAAAUUUUACUAGACAUUGGAAAUAUUGCAACAAACUAAUACAUGUAUGACAUGUAUAUUUGGAUUUGAUAUAACUCCCACUUGUAUAAUAAUUUUUUAAAAAUAAAUAUACUUAUAUUAUAAUAUAAUUUUCUUAUUAUAUGGUUGACGUGAUACUUCUGAUUUUUUCUAAAAUUUCUAAUGUGAUUAAUAAUUUUUUACAAAGUUCUAAAUAAAUUAAUGUACAAGCAUUAUUAUUGAAGAAUAUGUUGAAAGAUAUUGUGGAAUAUUUAUAUAUAACUGAUUAGAAAUUAUACAAUAUUGCAUAUCAAAUUACAAGAGCUUCUUUUAAAUUUAAAUUGAUCAAUCUAACAAGAAUUUAAUUAAGCUUCAUGCUAUAUAAAACAGGGAAAGUAUAAGUUGUAUAGAGGCCCAAAAAAAUAAUAAUUUUCCAUUCUAGAUUCUAAAUUUCAAUAAACAUCUAAUUUGUCAACAAGCAUGUUCGUUCUUUUUAUGAUUGAAUGUUGAAAUAAACAGUGUAAGAUCCAUCUCUUAUGCUUAGUAAUGGCACCAAAAGAAUUGAGGAUGAUACUCAAUUCUUUUUCCAUUGCGAAGCUAGCUGCAUUGUUAAAUCCAACCUCUGUUGACUCUGUGUUGCAACUGAGCUUCAUGCUUUCACCCGAUUUCAAGUUAACACUAGUAGAAACGAAGCAACCCUUUUGGGUUACUGACUCCAAGGAUACAGUUUCAGCCUUUCCAUCCCAUCUGGUAACAAGGCAAAAAAUGGAGGAGCCAUGAUCACUAGAGGAGUCUGUGACAACAAGUUCAUCAUCUGUUCCUCGCACUACAAGCAUUCCUGGCGAAGCAAAUAGUUCUAGCAUGACUGAUCUGCCAAUUACAUCGCUGAGGGAUGAAAAUUCAGAGGAAGGUUUAUCGUUUAAGAUGAAUCUGAAAGUGGCUUGAAGGGCAAUAUCAGUGCCAGAUUUAGAGGAUUCUGCCAUUGGGAUAGAUUGUCAAGACAAAAGUUGAGUUUCUGGAAACUUUGGAAAAUGUGACCAGCUGAAAUUAUAUGAUGCAGGAAUUGGAGCAACAAUUUCUGAAAGAGAUGUAGCUGAUUCAGUCUUGAUAUCGGAGUCCCCAUUGCUGUAACUCAUAGGCACAUAAGAUCGUGGUGAAUGGCCGAUCAGCUGAAGAAGAAAAAAGAUUUUCAAUCAAAGAUUUUUCAUUGAUAACAGAAAUUCUAAACAGAACAAUUCAUGAAGAUACCAUCGAUAGGCUGUGUCCUUAGAAUAAGGGCCAGCUGAAUGGUUAAUUUGUCAUCAGAUGUCCAUGCUGUGGUGAUACAUAGGAAAUUUCUUGCAUCAGGAAUGCAACUGUUUGUUACAUGUCUUUAUAAAAGAUGAAACCCCACUUUUAAUUUUUCUAUCUGAAAUGAAAAAGUGAAAAACAAUCAAAGAUAUUAUAAGGGCCAUUUAAUGUUGCCUUUGCUCCAUUAGUAUUUGUCCAGCUCGAUAUUCUGAAACCAAAGGAUAAUGGUCGAGCUGCUCCCUGGAUAUGUAUCAAAUCCAGAAUGUAUGAUGGAUGAACUUCUCAUUACAAUGUUAAAAAAUAAAAAAUAAAAAUAAACACCAAGUUUGAUAGUCAGUACCUUAGGAAGAAAUGUGAAUGUGAUAUGAAGAUAAGGAUCCAAAGAAACGACAGGAUCAACUUUCUGGUUCAGCACAAUAUGUCCAGAUUUCCAAUCAAGUGAGCUUGAUAUGUACUGAAUGAUGUAAAGACCGGGAUAUAAUCCUUCCUCUUCAAAGUAAACAGAAUCUCCUAACUUUGUGAAUGACUGAAUUCCUACAUGGGAAACAAGAAUAAAAUCUUGUAAACCACUUGGCGAAAACUACACAAAAUUUAGAAAGCAACUUAUGAGAUUCAAGAACAUUGAGAGUACAGAGAAAAAGUGGGCAAUGGAUACCAGACCUGUGCCAUAACAGCACCAGAGUGAGUCGAAUGGUGUUCCCCAGUCCUUGGUACUUCCAGAAGCUAGAGGAAGCAUGUAAAUCAUUACACCAGGAUCGGUGCCUCGUUGGAUUCCAAGCACACCAUUUGUUAAGGCACGCUCAUAAUAAUCUGCAUAGGCCAUUUCUUUUGUCCAUCGAAACAGGUUGCGGGAGACCUACAAAAUUAAAAGAUUAUGCUAUAAAGUUAUAACAGAUAGCUAGUUGUUUAAUGAAACAGGGGAAUCAAUAUUGAAAAUUUUUAGCCAUUGAUAUCAGUAAAGAACCAGUUGAUUAAAAGUUCUUAAAUAUUGUCAUAUUACUUUAAGCAUGUUAUAACUCCGCGUGAUUCUUCAUUCUCCGUCCCUAGAGUGGUUGCUAGUCGCUUUUGAUCACUCCUACUCAUCAGUUAAUGAAGUGAAUAAGUAAAGGACUUGCCUAAAGCUAUGAAGUAAUUGCAACUUUAUGAUAAUAACUGAAGACAGCCUAUGUAAUUCAAGCCAAAGCAAGAGCUUAUCGAUGAAAGACAAGAACUUGAAAUUGGAAUGAUGCCUAACAUUAGUACCAGAACUAUCCAACUGAUGUUCCUCCACUUGCAUGAGUAUGAGAAGCAUUAACAAUAUCCAUAAAGAAUUUCAAUAUUUCCUGGCAAUGCAUAUAAAAAUUAGAUGAUCAAAUAAUAUUCAGAAUUUUCCCAAUGGAAUUUUUUUUAAGCAUAUUUGUAGGUUCUAUUAAGCAUUUUAUUAAUUUGACAGUAAAGUAAUAUGAGGUUAAGUAGUUUACCGUUUGAAGUUGAUCGCCAGUGACUUCAUACCUCAUUUGAGAUCCAAUAACAAUAGGGAUUUGUGUUUUGGCACAGAAACCGGAUAUGUGAUCAGCCUACAAGCAGAAAAGACAGAUUUUUAUGUCAAAUUUUCAAUGCGGAAGUAAUAUCUAAGCGCCAAAAAAUAGCAAAAUGAUGUUACCUGUACUGCAAGCAAUCCCAGUGAGCAUGGUUUGUCAAAGAGGUGAACCAACACCAGAUGCUUUGGAUCUUGCUGGGAAUGAUAACAGUAAAAAUAUGUUUCAGAUUGCAAAGUUUCAGAGCUUCUCAAGUAUAUAUGUAACAACUAAGAAAAUUAAAAUUACCUACCGUUAUGGUGAAUAACAUGUACAGGAUAUCAUUCAUGCCCCCAGUUUCUUCAUUAAGUGAAUCCCAGUGCCGUGUCACAAUGUACUUCGUUAUUACAUUCUGAACUUGACAUUUAAAUUACUCGACCAUCCAUGUUGUUAUCUUCAAAGCUUCAGCUUUAUCAGCAUAUGCAUAUUCAUCCAAUAAGCCUGCCAGGAUCUGCAACUCAAAGAGCACAAGAUUAGUUUUUUUUUUUUGAAUACUGAUUAAACAUCAGAUUAUUAUAUUACACAGAUAUUUACAACAACUGCUAUUAUAGCAGAUAUAUUACACUGAUAAUUACAAUCAGAUAUACAUGAUUGGGACUUACAUUAUUACAUUGAAUUCUGUGAAGUACAUGCCCAGACAAAUAACCCCUCACACAGGAGGGAUGUCCAUACUCCACUCGUAUUUCGCAAGGGAGAAUGAUUCUUUACAUAUUAAGAAUAUUUAGCCCCCACAAUGCUUUUGUGGGGGCUAGAACCGCUGCCCUCACAAGCCUUGUGAGGGCAGCAGCCCACCACUUCGGCCAAGGCCGAAGUGGCAGCACAAGAUUGGCCGAAGUGGCAGCACAAGAUUAGUUAAAGCCAGUUAUCAAACCUAUAAAAGAUUUAAUAGCUUGCGAAACAAAUAGAGUAGACUUUACCUUGUGAAUAGUGUAAUACGGAGCCUAAACAGUCUUUAACUUCAACACAUUCAUAUAGCUCCGUUGGAAAUGCAGAAAGAUACCCACUUCCCAUUUGAUUCUGGCAUUCGGACAGAGCGGACACCAGAGCGGGCAUUUUCCCUUAAGAGUGUCAUUGUGAGUGCUCGCCCACUUCAAUGCCAUUGCACCCAAGUAAUGCCCUAGACGAAUUCAAAAGCAGUAACUUUGUAAUGUUGCAUUCUUCAAUAUUACUUAUAAACUGAGAUAAAGAUUUUCAUAGGACCUCCCUAAUGGGACUGCCCAAUAAGAUGAUAUGCCACAAAUGACGUCAUAUGCCCAUCUCUUCCAAAAUUUGAUAGUGAAGUUGGAUGGACAUGCAUGCCACAAUCAUAAUUUACAGACUAAACUUAUACAUAUAUACCUACAAAAUGACCCCGGAACUCACAAGUUGGAUCCUCCCAGCCUCCAUAGGCUUUCCCGGCAUUGGCAAACUGGCUGUUUUCUGGAAACUCCAAACCAACUGUCAACAUCUAGCUUCAACAGAUACUCCAUAUUCAUUUGCUGUGCACGCCAAUGCAUUGAAUCCAAACCCAACAGAACAUCAUGCAAUGACACCUCCUUCAAAAACUCUCCAGGUUCAGGCAUUCUAACCUCACCUGGGUUUUUAAUUUUCCUGUAGGACAUUACCAACUAAACUCAUCCUAUUCCUCCCUCAGGAUCUUCCUCGGCAUCAGACUCAACCAUGCCAUGUCAUCAGAUGGCGUCAGAUGAUUAUGAGAGAGCAUCUCUAUUUUUUAUAAGGUUCAUUUCUGGAUGACAAAACGUUGUAUCUGAACUGAUGUGAAGCUAACCUUAGAAAAACCUUUUUACAUUUUUUAGCUAAAGCUAAAACGCUGAAGAGAAACAUAAGCAAGAAUUUGAAUAACACAAAACCAUUCAUUUCUUUUUCUCUCUUUUUUAUUUUUUUAUUUUUUAUUGAUUACAGAUAUUAAAAAAAUAAAACAAAAAAACGCUUUGACCCAUAUUUAUUACUUGAUUAUCCUAAAAUAAAUCUGCAUUUACCAUGUAAAUUUACAAAAAUAAUAAUAAUAAUAAUAACAGAUUCAAAUGUUAAACAUCAGCAAUCCAACUGAAAUAAAAGAAACAGCAGCUAAAUUGCCUUUACUUGCAGCAAAUAUUUCCAAUGACGUAUAUAAAACUGAACAGAAUUGAAAUAGCGUCGGGAAUAAAAACUAUAGGACAAGAAUAAAGUAAAAAUUACAGCAAACGUAAUGAUUAGCCCUAGGAUUCUGUUACCCUAUUUCUUCUUGGUAGCAUUUUGAUUGAUUCCUACAUUAUUUAGUCUAGCUUUACGAUGUAACCUGAAUCUAAGAAUACCCAUCUGCAUAUUAAAAAGUUAUUCAGAACGCCAGCCGGCUGCUGCCAUCGAGAUUAGAAAAGUAAGGAUGAUUUAUUGUCAUAACGGUGCAUUAUUGGCCUUUCCGUUCUGCUAGCCAACUUUUAAUCUUGAAUGUUGAAAUAAACUGUAUAAGUUUCAUCUCUAAAGCUUAGCAAUGGUGCCAGAAGAAAAUUCCUCCUUGCUCCUUUCGCCACAAAGCUGAUUGAAUGAUACUCGCUUAUUCCUUUUUCCAUUACAAAACUAGCUGCCUCGUUAAAUCCAUCCUCCGAUGACUCUGUGCUGCAGCUGAGCUUCAAGCUUGCACCUGAAUUGAAGUUCAUACCACUAUACACAAAGCAACCCUUUUGAUUUACCGCCUCCAAGGAUAUUGUUUCAUCCUUUCCAUCUAACCCUGCAACCAAACGGAAUACAGAAGAAUCCCCUUCCUUUGGAGAAUCUGAGACAACAAUUUCACCAUCUGUUCCUUGCUGCACUACAAGCAUUCCUGGAAAAUCAAAUGGUUCUAGCAUAACUGAUUUGCCGAUAACAUCUUUGAGUGAUGAAACUUCGGAUGAAGAUUCUUCCUUCAUGAUGAGUCGGAAAGUGGCAUGAAGAGCAGCAUCAGUGCCAGAUUCAGGGAACUUUUCCAUUGUAAUGGAUUGGUUUGAGUUUGAUAGUACAAAAGCAGAGUUUCCAGACUCUUGGGCAAAAGUAACGAGCUGACCAUUGUACGAGGCAGGGAUUGGAGUUAUCCAGUCUGAAAGAGAUUUUGCUGACCCAGUCUUAAUGUCCCAGUCCCCACUAGUGUGACCAGCUAGUAGAUAGGGACCAUAAAGAAUCGCCUGAAUAGAUGCAUACGCAGGCUGGUCAUCUGGACAAGAAAACUUUGUCAAUCAAAGAUCACAUACUAGAGAACAAAAAUAUUUGAUUGCGGCCAAGCAUAUAUUUGCAAUGAAAAAGCUACAAGAGGGGUCACUAGACGCAUAGCUUUGAAAACUAUUGCUCCAUGAAUACCUUUAAUAGCCUCUGUCCUUAGAUUGAUGGGCAGCUGAAUGGUUAAUUUGUCAGUAGAGCUCCAUCUUUUAGUGACAGAUAUAAAGUUACCUGUACUAGGAAUAUGUCCAUAGGUCAAAUGUCCGUAUGCGAAAAAAGUGAAAAGAUUCAAAGAACAAUGUCAUCAAAAAGGAAAAGGAUACAAGUAAUAAUAAAAUAUGAAAAUAUCAGUGAAAAGGUCAGACAUUUUUUCUUCCUUUCUCUGAAGUAAGACAUUAAAAAGAAUUAAAGAAACUAGUAUUGUGUUAACACCUGGAGCUGGGAGAGACAAACUCUGGCCAUUUAAUGUUGCCUUGGCACCAUUUGAAUUUGUCCAGAGCGGUAUCCGCAAAUUCAAGGAAGAUGAUUGGCUUGCCUCCUGCAUAAAUCAGAUUCAAGUACGAGCUCUACUUCCAGUUGGAUUUUUUUAAUCAAUCGAAUAGUUCAGUAUCAAUAAUGGUUAGACCCUCACUGUCAUCCAAAGUUAAUGUCUCAUUGUUCAUUUUGAGUGCUUCUAAAAUAGAGGAAAUGAAACAAAAUACUGAAACUCACAUAUACAAUAUACAUAAACAUUUCUUUUCUUUUCGUAAACCCUACAAAGAGGACAAUAGUUUGUUAAUAAUUAAAAACAUGCAUAAAAAUUCUUUUAAACCAUUACAAUGGUGCUACCGGAAACCUUACGCAAGUGGGUAUUAGAACUGCAACCAUCAAUAUCUUACCUGUUGAAUCAACUAGUAAUCAAAAACAUAAUCUACAGCCUUAUUAUCAUCUAUAACUUGUAACUAUCUCACAUAUGUGGUUAAGUUACUCUCAACAAGAGAUAAUAGUCCCAAUUCUUUACUUCAAUCAAGCAAAACCACAAAGCAUUAAACAAGAGACGCAUCCCUAGGACCCCACAAGUCAAUUUGUACUCCAUUAUUAUCAAUUUCCUAUCUUGUUAAUCUUUUCAAAUUUGUUUGGUAUCUCUUAAGUUUCCGAAGUCAUACCCUAAGCCAUCAGACACAAUCAGAUAGUACUUGUCUAAUACAAGAUACUGGAGAAUAGAUUCAGGAGUAAAUGCAGAUAGUACCUGCUUUGAAGAAAAUGUGUGUGUCAUUCGAAGGUAAGGAUCCCAAGAGACAACAGGAUCAACUUUCUGAUUCAGCACAAUAUUUCCAGAUUUCCAGUCAAGUGAGCUUGAUAUAUACUGGAUGAUAUAAAGACCAGGAACAUUUCCUUCCUCUUCAAAGUAUAUGGAAUCUCCUAACUUUGAGAAUGAUUCAAUUCCUACAAAAUCAUGAAAAAAGAACUAUCACAUGACCGGAACAAUGGAAGAGAUUUAUAUAACAUCAAUGAUACCAGCAAAAAGUAGACACGAAAUGCCUAGUGGCAAAGCAAUUUGGAGUCAUAACCACAUAAAAAUGAGAAACAAAUCAUUAGAUGUGAGUCAAGGCCGAAGGGGAAAAACAAUGUAAUGCAGUUCAAGUUAUCAUGAAAGGGAAAGUUGAAUCCAGCGAAUGAAUCCCAAACCUGUGCCAUAACAGCACCAGAAGGAAGAGAACCUUGUUCCCCAUCCAUGGUAGCUUUUGGCCUUGGAAUCUCCACGACCUAGUGGAAGCAUGUAAAUCAUCACUCCAGGCUCUGUUCCUCGUUGGAUACUAAGUACACCAUUUGUCAAGGCACGUUCAUAAUAAUCUGCAUAUACCAUUUCUUUUGUCCAUCUAAACAGGUGCCGCGAGACCUACAAAAUCAAUUAAGUUUCCCAUGUAAUUGCAAAGAGCAGUAGCAUUCAUGCUGAUGCAGUAAUGAAAAAACAGACGGUAUGAUCACCAAAAAAGAUGAUUCCAAAUGCUAGACCCAUAACAGCAGAGAGUUAUCAAUUAUUGUAAUAAUUUAAAAAAAAAAUGCAAAAACAGAUAAUAAAACAUUCCCCAGAUGGAGUUUAAACAAAAUAUAUAGUAGAAAAUCCUUUGCUUCCAGAGUUCCAGCAAAUGAGCAUACCUUCAGCAUAUUAUAAGUUGUGCACGAUUCUUCAUUCUCUGUCCCCAGAGUGCUUGCUAAUCGCUUUGGAUCUGACCUACUCAUGGUAAAGAAUACCACCAAGACUCAGAUAAAUAAUGGGCAUAAGGCUAUGAAGUAAUAGUUAGUAAGGAAAUUCAGAAUAGCUUGUGGAAAUUCAGGCAGGAGCUUGAGCUAAUUAAGGAAUGAGAGGUAAAUCAAAUUCAAAAUGCCAGAUAUUAAUACCAAAACUCUCCAGCUGAUGUUCCUCCUGUUGCAUAACUAUGAGAAGCGUUAACAAUGUCCAUAAAGAAUGUUCCUAUGACCUGCACCAAAAUUAGAUAACGAACAUUAAAGUCUUUCAAAAAGAACUUUUGUAAGCAUUUUUAUUUAAAUUCUAAAACAUCAGAAAAUCAAAAGGUAGAACCUAUGUAGUCACCACCAUUUCUGAAGACUUAAGAUGGAAGCUAAACAUUGAGCCUCUGAAGAAUAAAUAAAUUAGAUCUCUCAAAACAGAGAGUAAGCAGCCCACAGUGAUGAUAAUUUGGAAAACGCAAGCUAGGCAGGUGGAAGUGAGGGCAUGAUCAUAUAGAAGGAAACUAAGCAAUUGAACUUGAACCAAUGCCAGUAAGCAAUUUACCUUGUAGAGUGGAUCACCAAUGACCUCAUACCGCAUUUGAGAUCCAAUAACAACAGGGAUAUGAGUAUUGGCGUGAAAACCAGAAAUGUCAUCAGCCUACAAGCAAAAGAAAUAAACCAUCAUCAAGAAUAAAGAGAAAAUCAGCCUUCUAAUUUUUCAUUUUCUUCUGAGUUUUACAUGAUUUUCACCCGUUUAGACACCUAUAUGGAACCAGAAACUCAAUUCUACUCAUGCAUACAUAAGAUACCAAAGUUAUGUAUGUAUGUGUUUGAGUUCUGCGCAUUUAUGAAACUAAUCUUCACUCCAAACCAAAAUUUUUCCAGGGCAACUACAUCAGCUAGAGUGCCUAUGGUCAAAAGUUGACAAAAGAACCAGCAAAUAAUUAAUUAACAUAAAGAAUUAGUUCCCAUGUCAUGUAACUCCAUACUGUCAAACUAUGAUUUUUGUCCAUUUUAGAGAUUAUUAGCGUAUUAAAACCUCUUAUGAAUGAUAAAGCAAUUAUAGUUACCUGCAUUGCAAGCAAUCCCAAAAAGCAGGGCUUGUCAAAAAGGUGAGCCAACAAUAACUGCUUUGGAUCUUGCUGAACACAGUAACAUAAAAAGCUUUAGAAAGCAAAACACAGAAUAUCUGCAGUAAAAUAAUAUUUCCAGAAUCACAUGCUUAAUUGGUUGUAAAUGAGCUGUUUCUGCUGAUAUAUAUCGACCAAGUCCACAACAUAAUUUCAAUCAUUUUUAAUAUAGAGUCAAAUGAGGUGAAAGGGAAGUUGCAGGUAAUAGGAUACAUACCGUGAUGGUAUAUAACCUGUAAAGCACAUCAUUCAUGCCACCGGUUUCUUCAUUAAGCGAAUUCCACUGUCUUUCCACACUAUACUUUGUUAUAACAUUCUGAACACGAUUGUAAAAGUACUCAACCAUCCAUUUUGUCAUCUUCAAAGCUUGAGUAUUAUCAGCAAAUGUAUAUUGAUCCAAUAGACCCGCCAAGAUCUGUCAAAGUAGAUUAGUCUCUAGCAAAUUAUAUAACUUUACAAGGACUAAAUAUAUGAAUUGUAUCUUGCAAAACAAACAAGAUAAACCUUACCUUGUGAAUAGUGUAGUAUGGAGCCCAGACAGGUUUUAAAGCUUCAAAGCGGUCAAAUUGUUCCGAUGGAAAAGCAGAAAGAUAUCCCGAUCCCAUUUUAUUCUGACACUCAGAUAAGGCAGACACCACAGCAGUCAUUUUCUCUUUGAGAGUAACAUUGUGAGUACUAGCCCACAUGUGUGCUGAUGCACUCAAGUAAUGCCCUUUAAGAAGCCAAAAAGCAAGUUAGUCGUUCAAAUUAUAUCAACUAAAAUUUGAAUAACCCAAUUAACUUGCUGCAGAGUCAAGCAUCAAAACAUUGUGAAAGCUGAGAAAUGUUGAAAUUGAAAUUGUCCACAUAAUUUAGUGGCUAAAUUACACUGUAAUUCUGCAUAUUGCAACUCCAGGAUCCAAGCUGUAAAUAUUUAAGAAUCCUAAUCCACACAAAACCCACAGCAUGACUCCAAUGAUUAGAAAGAUUUAACUGACCAUUCUUUCAUGGUAUUUUAUACAAAGAAGAUAAGAUACAAAAUUCAAAAGCAACCUAAAAUUUGUCAAAUUACAAUCAGAGCAUUAUAUUGCUGAAGAAGCUCAAUACAUUUUAGAAAGAUGGUUCUUUCUUCAUCCUUCUUUCUGUUGACAUCUCAAAGACAAGAAAGUGCUUUCCCAAGCUUAGACAUGUAACAGAGGGGAAGAGAAAGAAUCUAGGAUCAUUAGGAAUUAAUUACAACUACUCCACCAUUAACAGUAGCACUAACAGUAAAAAAGAGUGGUGUGAAUAGUGUAAAGUUGAUUCAUGAUACCUUCUAUAACUCUCUUUCAGUCCAUUCACAUAAAUUCUUAACUUAAAAGUGAAUUUAGUUAAUCAUUUUGCAGAAACAUCAUUAAAUUCGUCAAAGUCAUAAUCAGUUUGCGUAGACAGUAAGGAAAACUGCAGUUUAAACUCAAACACAAUGAUAUAGAAUUACGAACUGAAAUUACCUACAAAAUGACCCCGAAGCUCACAUGUUGGAUCCUCCCAACCUUCAUACGCUUUCCCUGGUGUAGGCAAACCAGCUGUUUUUCUAAAGCUCCAAACCAAACUAUCCACAUCCAACAUCAAUAGAUACUCCAAAUUUGUUUGUUGUGCCCGCCAAUGCAAUGAACUUGGGUCCAACUUAACAUCAUGCAAUGAAACCUCCUUAAGAAAAUCACCGGCCAAUUUAAACCCAUCUGGAUUUUUCAUUUUCCUAUACAUCAUAGUCCAACUAAAUUCGUCUGUCUCACUCAACAUCUUUCUUGGUAGCAAAUUAGACCAAGCUGAAUCAUCAGUUGGUGUCAAAUGGUAAUGAGAGUACACCUCUUUUUUCCACGUUUCAUUUUUGGAUGAUAAGAGUUCGUAUCUAAAUGUAUGCGAUGCUAGCUGAGGAAAUGAGUUUGUACACUCCUUACACAAAGCCACCCAACAAGAGAGAAACAAAACCAACACUUUAAACAAAAAAUUCUUCAUUUUUAUCAAAAAACUCAGAUUCAAAAUCUCUAACUUUUAGUAAACCAAAGUACAGCGUAAAAGUCCGCACUAAACCAACAGAUAGUUUAUCAACAAAACAGAAUCAAAAUACUGCAAAUUAUUGAAAUUCACCAAUUUGAAUAUAAUUCAAGACCAAAAGAACUCAUUGUAACACCUUUUGAGCUCAAAAUUUAGCACAAAAUAAUCAAGCCAUACAGUAUAACCACAACCCCAGGAAGCAAAAUCCUUUAACUUGACCAAAUUCAGCUUAAUUAAACAAAAAGCCAGAGCAUUCAAAUAUAAACAACACCAGAACUCAAAAAACUCAAAAUUCAAUGAACUUGAUAACAACAAAAAACACACACUUCAAGCAAAAAGAAACUUUGAAAAGUUCAAUGCAAAACUCUCACUACAAACACACAUGCGAACUCUCAAAGACUAAAAGCUCCAAUAUAUAUACACCCACGCAAAUAGAGCAAGCAAGCUAAGUAAAGCAAGAAUCCAAAAACUGAAGCUAUAUCUUUAAAACCAUCUCGUGAAAGCUAAGAAUUUGUUUACGUGUAAAAUAAUGAAAAGGGCAUUAUCCCAAAUGAAUAAAUAAAUGAAAUAAAAUAAAUUUACAGAUAUUUACAGUGAAGAAUCACGGAUUGGGUGUCUGUUUCUGCGGAGGUUGGUUUAUUAUGUUGACUCAUUAGUCAGUGCGAGUGAAGCUUUUCAACAAAAUGAAUCUUUACAAAACAACAAAAGAAUAAAAUAAAAUAAAAAAUGAAAUUCACUCAAUUACAAUGAAACUGCAGAGGAAUCAAUGGUCUCUGUGCUCUCAAACAGCAAACAAGCGUUUGUGUUUUGCUUAAAAGUCGAGCCGUUAAUUGGAUAAUCUAUUCAUCUUUAAUGUAACAAGAAAACACACUGAAUCUAAAUCUUUUAGUAAGUGCAAGUUGAUUUAAUUCUACUACUGAUUUUAUUAAGAAAGAAAUCAAUAAUCCACUCAAUAUAAUCAAUUGAUCAAAUGAGAAUUUUAGCAUGUACGUUUUAAUUUACUAAAACUUAUUAAAACCGGCCAAACUGAAUCAUUGUUAUGAAAAUAUUUAUUUGUUCGCGAAAAUUGAUGGUAUUUAAAACAAUGGUUUAAUUAAGAGUGGAGAUAUAUCAACUUAAUUUCUGUCACCAUUUUUAAGCCAAAAAAUUAAGCAUUCCCCAUCACUUUUAAUUGCACGAGUAAAGGUGAUGAAUUUUGAUAGCAUACAGGCAUAAUAUCAGUUUUGUAUCUUCAAAGGAUGAAAUGCAGUUAUAUAACAUGGAUAUAAUUUUGAAAUCAGAUAAUGACAAUAAUAGCAAAGAUUAAAGAUCUUAACGCCUACUUCUUUGACAAAUUCUUUUUCUUUUUUAAUAAGCUUCUAAAUUUUACUUACAAACCUAAUAAUAUUGACUAAGACAACCAUGCACUAUCGAGUAAUAAUAAAGUUUUAAAUUUUUAUAUAAAUUUAUUUUGUACAAAAUUGAUUGGAAUAAAUAUUUUUUGACCCACAUAAUUUUUUUUAUUAUUCUAUAUUUUCACCUAAAUCACAAAUUUAUAUUAUAUCAAUUUGUACAAAAAUAAAAUUUUAUAAAAUUUUAUAAUUCUACGAUCAUUGUUUCCUAUAUAUAAGUUUUUUUUUUUAUAUAAAAAAAGCCAACUAACCAGACAUGAAAUCCCCAGGGGCCUGCAUUUAUAAUUCUAUUUAUCAUUGUCUUUGUUGAAUGAAGCUCAAAUGAGUAGAAUGGUACUAAUUCUUUGUAGACACGAGGCCAUUUUUAUCACACUGUUGAGUCACAUUUUUAAUUAGGUAUUGCCAUAGUCAAAAGUCAAUUCUUUUCAAUUGCUUAUUUUUCUUGCACCAAAAAGAAGAAAAAAUCUAACAAAACAAAGACGAUAUAUAUAAUUGUUUAUAGGAUUUGGCUCUGGUGCCCCUGUGACACAAUACCCCAAUUUUUUUCUUUAGUAAGUUAAUCUCUAACAAAUUACAGUUAGCUCCUUCAUCUCCCUUUCAUUUACAUUCUUUUUUUACCCCAACAUAAUGGCAAAUUGCAGUUAGGCUACUUUUCAACAUGCUUUUUGCCUGAUUUAUAAAGCUACUUUAUAUAAGCAUUCUUCUACACUAAAACAACUACUAAGAAGAAUUUGAAGGGCAAUCAAUUUUAUGUUCUAUUAAAAGUUUAAAACCAUACGUUGGCUUAAAUAGAUUAUUUUAUUAAUAUGCAGUCGUAGAUAGACAAUUUUGAAUGGAACUUUUCAUAAGAAAAUCAAAUCCUAAUUUAAUUGCGCAUGACAUGAUCACAAUUCAUAAAUACCAUUAUACUCUAACCACAAAUGAAACAAUCAUUUUGAAAUUAUUGCAACUAUAUAUAGUAUUUGUCUCAUAGCCCCUAGGGAACCAAAAAUUACACAAAGCCAUAAAAUUGAGCAAAAAGAACAAAUAAAAAUAAGCUAAGGUACGUAUCAACUCUUCUUUGAAAGCUGAUAUUGAAUAAGUUACAAUCCACAUAGGGACCAUUCAUCGCUUAAACCAUAAACACAUAGAUGCAGAAAGGAAAUAUCAUGCGAUGUAUUGGAUGGGUCCAUCACAGCCAAUGCAAGUUGGGCACUGCCUUUAUUAGCAUGGGAGCAAUUUUCUGUCAUCACAGCAACUUGAAUAUAUAUGUGGCUAUGAUUGCAGGGAUAGAAUUUAUUAUACGCUUGUCUGUUUGGAAUAUUCUUACUCACGUGUAUUUACUAUUACAUGUUAUUAUAUAUUUAAUUACGAGAUACGCGUGACAAAAGUUCAAGAAAUGUGAGGAUUAAUCGAGGGUAUUCAAGACUUUAUAAAAGAUUGAGAUUAUAAAAUUUCAAUUUAAAUAUUUAAGGUUAUGCAUGUAUUGGGACGAUUUGACAGUAAAUAACGGUGAAAUAUAUAGGUGCUAAAAGUCAUAUUUGAAGAGAAUUUUGUUUAAUUAAUUUGGUCUCUCAUUCAUGUGGAAUAUUUUCAUCAGCACUAAUUUGAAAUGAGACAGCUACGUGGUAAAUUAAUGAUAAAGGUGAUCACGAGAAAUUGUUAUUGAUUUGAAGAAUUUUCCUCACGAGAAAGAUGGUAAAACAAAUUCUCCAAUGCCUUUACUCCCAGGAUACUUGGUGGCUGAGUCGAUUUACUAUAUAUUUCUUUUCUUUUUUUAACACCAACUCAGAGAUACAAUCGGAAUCUAUUCUAACCUAAAUUAUAUUGUGAUACACUGAUACUAUCUAAAUUUUUAUUUUUAUAUUAUAAUCUGUAUUUAUCUUAUUAAUAUUCGAAGGACAUAUCAACUAAGUUACCUGUAUAUUUAAGAAAAGUUAUAUAUCCUUAUUCAAUUAUUGGAGGAAAAUGAAAAUCACCUAACUUUUUUAAGAGACUGGGAUGCCACUCAAAUCUACAGCUUAUUUAGUGCGAGUGAGCAUGGUUAUAUAAUUACCAGAUUGUCGGGAGAAGUACAAGCAAAUUACAGGACCACAACUUACUCCCAUCGUGUCAAAAAAUCUGAAUAUUUAAGGGAUACAUUACAACAAAUUCACCUCGAAAUUCUUCAUAGGGCGUAAAAGCGAAAAAAAAUUAAUAACUAACUGAACUGUGAGGAUUUUUAUUAUUGACAUUAUUGUGUCGAUGAAAAUGUAAUUUAUUUAUUUUUUGUAUUAAGAAUUUGUCUAGUCUUGAGUAUUUAUUAGAUUAGAUUAUGUGAAAUAUUAGAGAAUAUUUUUUGUGGCAUAAAGAAGUAUAUUGCAUGUAUAUGAGAUUAAAUAUCAAAGAGUUUCAAACAAAGGUGAUACUGCAUUACUAAUUAUAUCAAGUAUUUAUGCAAUAUUGAAUGCUUAAGGAAGUAUAUCUUAAUAGUCCUCUACUAGGUUAUGGGUAAAAUACUGCACCUAUAAAAAGGGAAGUAUUUCACACAUUGAAGAAAGAAGAUGACACAUCGUAUUUUAUAUAAAAAGAAGCGGCCAAAGCAUGGAACAAGAAGAAAAAUUAUCUUAGCCACAUAUGGUGUUUCAUGUCUCAGUGCAGUUUUGGUGUUUGAGUCUUCUUCAUAUUGAUGAAAUGGAAACAUUUAAAGAAGUUUGCUAGAAUAAACAAAGGUUUCUGAAUAAUGAUAAGCUUUAUUGAAAAGUCCAAAUGAAUAAAACUAAGAUUUUCAGCCCCUUUUAUAACAAGCCUAAAUAUCGCGAAUUUACCAAAAUAGGCAAAUCCAAAAUCUAAUAUGAUAAUUAAAUUCUCCUAAUCAAAAUAAGAAAAUAAAAACAAAUGGCACUUAAAUGUGAGUUUUAAAAAAAUAAAAAUCCUAGAAGAAUCAGGAAAAAUAAGAAAGAAUCUUAAAACUGAAAAAGACUAGGAAAGAAACAAAAUUUUAUAUUUGACCACAAGGUAAAAUAACUUAGGCAUUAUGAGAUUUGUUCGUCUCGUCGCAAGCUUCAAAACAAUAUAUUAUACAUUGAAAAUGGACACUUGUAACCUAAGUUACAGCCUCCAAAAGGUACACUGCUCACGACACACAACACCUACAUCAGUCCCCCUUACUUGGAAAAGAACUCGUCCUCGAGUUUGGCUCAUAUAAUUCCUCAUCAUCUAGAUGAUACUCAAAUAGAUCAGCCACAUUGAAAGUGUGAGAUAUGUUCCAGUUGUCCCGUAAUUGAAGCACAUAAGCAUUAUCAUUGAUCUUUCGCUUGGCUCGAAAUGGUCCAUACUUUUCCUUUUCCAAUUUAGUGCAAAUGUCAGGAAAACAACUUUGCCAUAGAUAUGCCAUCACCAAAUCUCCUCGCACAAACACUUUCUUACAACGGUGCUUGUCCGCUUCAGCCUUGUACUUAGCAUUGACAACCUUCAAGUGAGCUCAUACCUCGGCAUGAAUCUUCAAAGCCUUUUUUCCCGUAUUAGCAGUUGCUUUGCUAUCUCCAACCACAGCUAUUGUUGGCAUGACAACCAAAUCACACACAUUGCGUAGGGAACAAGUAUAGAUAAUCUUAAAAUGGGUCUUAUCAAUAGAUCGAUUCAUCAUGUUAUUGUAGGCAAACAACUUGAGGCAAUGUAGCUUCCCAGUUCUAUUGCUUGUCACCACAAACACACCACAACAUGUUGCCUAAAGUUUGAUUGACCACUUCUGCCUGCCCAUCUAUCUGUGGAUAGAAAGCGUUGCUAAACUACAACUGUGUUCCAAACUUAUCCCAGAGAUGGCACCAGAACAUGUUAAUAAACUUCAUGUCUCUGUCAGAAGUGAUAGUUUUUAAAACACUAUGCAACCGCACAAUUGCUCAAAAGAAUAAAUACGCUAUUGAAGCAGCAUUUUCAGUCUUUUCACAAGCAAUAAAGCGCGCCAUCUUUGAAAAUUUAUCAACCACAACCAAUAUAAAGUCUCGACCUGUCCUUGUGCACGGCAACUCUAACACAAAAUUCAUGGACAGAUCUAACCAAUUUUUUUUUUUUGGAACAAAUAAUAGCAAGGAUAAACCCAUCUUCUGCGCAUGCCCCUUACUUUUUUGACAAACCCGACACCUUUGCACUAUUUUCCGCACAUCUCUGCUCAACUGGGGCCAAUAAUAACGCUCCUUCACAAGCGCAUUGGUCUUAUCUCAUUCAAGAUGUCCACCCAAUCCUUCCUCCAUAUAACUCGUGAAUAAUUUGUUCCCUUAAAAAACUUCGAGGCACACAUAAUUGGUUGGCCUUAAAUAAGUAUUCAUCCUGAAUGAGGAAAUCCUCUGCAUUUUGAUGAUUGAUGCAAUUAUCCCAAAUAUGCAUAAAAUCGUCAUCAUUAGCAUACAACUCUUUUGAGCACUCAAAGCCAGUAAAUUCAUUGACUCAAGUUACCAGUAAAGUUACUCGCAAACGCAUCUGCCACUUUAUUCUGCUAUCUAAAUUUGUGCUUAAGAACAAAAGUGAACUUCUAUAUAUAACUCACCUAUCUCGCGUGCAUCUUGCUCAGGUUCUGUUGGCUGUUAAAGUACUUCAGUGCUUGAUGGUCGUUGAAGAGAACGAAUUCUUUCUAAAUCAAAUAAUGCUCCCACGUCUUCAAUGCCCUAAGGAUGACAUAAAACUCUUAGUCGUAAGUAGACCAUUUCGUUGUGCCUCAUUCAACCUUUCACUCAUAUACUCAAAUUGGCUGCCCUUCUUGGGAAAGAACAGCCCCAAUUCCCUUGCUAGAAGCGUCACACUUGACCUCAAAUAACUUGUCAAAGUUUGGUAAGGCUAGCACAUGAGCAAUAGACCUUUAAUAAAGCAAAACUCGCCUCUUCUUCUCCUCCCCAUUUAAACUUUCCUUUCUUUAAGGCUCUAUAAUAGGUGCGGCUAUAGUGCUAAAACCACGAAUGAAUCUCCUAUAAAACGUUGCCAAUGCAUGAAAGCUCAUAACUUUUCCCACAGUCUUAGGUGUAAGUCAUUCUUUAGUAGCUUGUAUCUUCGACUCAAUAGCCCGAAUCCUAUCUGCACCGACUAUAAAAUCCAAAAAUUCUACAUUAGUCUACAAAAAGUUAUACUUCUUCAUAUUAAUGUAAAGUUUAUUCCUCCAUAACCAUUCUCAAAUUCUCCAAAUACAUCACCACAACACCAAAAUAUCAUCAAAAUAUACCACAACACCAAAAUAUCAUCAAAAUAUACCACAACAAAUUUGCAAGAAAAAGGCAAAUCCAAAAUAGGAAAAUUGAAAAUCUAAUAUGAUAAUUGAAUUCUUCUAAUCAAAAUAAGAAAAGCAAAAUAAACGACACUUAAAUCCGAGUUCUAGAAAAAAAAGAUAAAAAAUCCUAGAAGAAUCAGGAAAAAUAAAAAAGAAUCUUAAAAUUGAAAACUGACUAGGAAAGAAACAGAAUUUUCAGUCCGACCACGGGGCAAAACGACUUGGACCAAUAUUGAAUAGCUUAAAAAGUAGGCCGAAGCUAUUUCAUUUUGCCAUAGUUGAUGAAGUUGACUCUGUUCUUAUUGAUGAAAGGAGAAAUCCAUUGUUAAGUGGUGAGAUAAUUUAGGGCUGCUUCUUUAGUGGCCGCUCGAAGUUAACUAAAAAGUGCAGCUAAAGAGAUAAUUUAAAGGGGUCAAAUAUCAUUGUUCUUCUUUUUUUAUGCACAAGAUGAGUGUCAAAACUUUAAGACACAUGUAUCAUUGUAUGAAAACAAAAAUGUGUUGGUAAGUAUUAAAUAUUAAAUGCAACACUCAAUUUUUCGUACUCUUGCUACAAUUCUUCCCGUCACCAAAGAUACAUCAACUCUCCAAUACCUCACUCAAAUCAACCAAAGAACCCCACUAGUGCCUGUGAAGUAUACCCUUGAUCUCGGUGGUCAGUUUCUCUAGGUGGUUUGUUUAAGAGAUUAAGUAUUUUGGGUUUUGUUCAUCUCGUUGCAAGAUUCGAAAUGAUACAUUAUAAGUAAAAAACGGACACUUGUAGCCUAAGUUACGGCCUCGGAAAAGUACACUGCUCGCGACACACAACACCCUACAUCACAUAUCAAGUCUUUCAUUUGACAUUAAUGAUUACUUUAGCAUCUUCGGAAUGAGAUAGUCAUUUGUUAUGUGAAAAGGAUCUCAAGAAAGCAGCAAACACAAUUGAAGACAAGUUCUGCUCGCUAAGCAAAGUCGACUAAAUUAGAUUCAACAGGUGACAACAAGAGUAAAAGAGAUUGCGUAAGAUUCUAAUAGGUUGUAAUAUUUUCAUUACUUAGUGAAUUGCUUAAUAUCUAAGUGUGGCCUUAUGAAGAAUGUAGAAUUGUGAUCCAACCACGUAAGAAUCUUCUAUGUACUUGACUUUCUACAAUUUACUGUUUCUAAUAUAUUUGAUAGAUUUAAGGUGAAUAAAUAACAAUUUUAGCAAUAUUAUGAAUAGCGAUGAUGAAUAGUAACUAUGAAUAGUAUCUCGUAAACGAUAUUAUAUAAACAGUAAUAAAUGAUUGUAUAAAUGGUAACUCAUGAAGACUGAUUGCAAAGAAUAUUGCAUGAAUAAUAGUAUGUGAGAGUGAUCUCAUAAUAUUAAUUAAUAUAAUUAAUAAUUCUCUAAUAUUUUAAUUUACUUACACUUAUUAAAAUAUAUCUAAAUUUUUGACAUAAACCUUUACAAUAAACAUAAAAAAUUUAAUAAAGAUGUUGAUUGAGUGUCCAUUUUUGUUUAUCGUGUAGGCCUUAGAAAAUUCAAUGAAUGGUAAUCAAUUGCUUCAUUAAUCAGUUCAUCAAUAAUUAGUUGAAGAUGAACUCUUGAAAUUAAUGCUAAAAGAUAUCAUUGCAAUUGUUGUGAAAUCCUACCAUCAACCAUAAUAUAAAAACAAAUUUUAGGCAUAUUUUAAUUGAAGUUUGCCUUUUUUAUUAUUCUAUAUCAUAGAAAGGAAAUUGUGAUAACUGGUCUGAUAAUGUACAUUGUUUUGUUCUAAAUCCUUUUAUACUGAAACCUUACUUAUGACAAACGUAGAGGACAAAAUUUGAUCCUAUACUAUCAAUCUGAAAGCUACCAAUAAUUAAUUAGAAGAAGCUAACUCUAAUUUUCUGGAAAUAAAGAAAAUUUUGUUCUUGGAAAUUCUUUCGUCUUAUUUCCCUCAUGAAUAAAUUAGUUGGUUUGUGUUGUUUUCAUGUAACAAAUAAGCAUGAUCGAUUUAUAUGCAAGUGGGCAGAUUUCAUUGCUCAUAUCAACGGCAAAAUGGUUGUUCAUCUUAUCAAGUAAUCCUUUCAUCAUCAACUCAUCACCCUAAAAGAAGCAACAAAAAAUCAGCCAUUGUUUUUCUUCCAAGAUAAGUAGACAGACAAUAAAAAACAAAUACUUGUUUCCAUUGCAAUUUCAAGUUUGCUUUCACUCAAGCUCAAUCAUGGCAUUUAAAGUAUUUCUGUCUAUACGUGAUUGGAUAGGAAUUGCGACAAUAAUGACACUACGAAACGUUAAUGCCAAAGGAUAUGAGUUGUUGGAGAAUGACGAAGUAGUAGACGUAAAGAGAUAAAAGUUCCAAAGAACAAUUUGGAUUUAUUGUAAUAGGUAGUAAUAAAAAGAUAAAAUUCAAGUUAGUGGUACUCGUACCCUUAACAUAACUCAACAUUUGUGGAGGGAGUGAGUUCGGAUCUGUGGCAUGAGAUCGAGCCCUCACAGGGGUUCAUUAAUUUCGAUAUUAAUGGGAGUAUAUUUCUAAAUUAAUGCUUACCACAUAUUUGGAUUGUAUUAUAAAUAUAUAUAUUUAUCUUGAGAUAUAUUUAUAGUUUGUAGCAAUUUCAAUAAUAAUAAUAAUAACAAUAACAACAAUAACAACAAUAACAAGUUACUCCUUUCAGUCUCUUUCUAUUCUAGGACUUCAAUAAUUAUACGUCGUGACCAAGCCGAAAAACUAACAAUAGAGAAUGAUUAAUAAAAAUAAGAGAAAUGUAAAUGAAGAUGAGCAUCAAGAGAAAAUGAUAGAUUGAUGGAGAAUUAAUGGUGCAAGUGUCAUCUCUUACGUGGAUAGGAAAUUAGUCUUUGUCAUUAUUCAUCAUCCUCACUCUCACUAAUUUAUUAACAUUAUUAACAAUGGUAGGCAAACUAUCUAGAUUAUGAAACGAGCAUCAUAUUUUGAGGUCUCCUUCACUAAUUAAUUCACCAAGUUUAGAAGUCAUCACAAAAUAUCAUUUUCAGAUAACUUAUUAUCGUCAAUUCUCUUCACUAAAAUAUAUAUAUAUAUAUAUAUAUAUAUAUAAUAAUACUUAAGAUAUGUGUCAUUAGCAUUAAUGAUCACGCACUAGGUGAUGUGCAAUUUUAUUAUUCAUCACUAUAUAAAGGUCUCGUUUGGGAUUAAGGUGUUGUAAAUGCUGUGGAAAAAAAAUUGUAACUAUUAAAGAAAAAUUAAUAAUAUGUAGUAAAUAUAAAUUUUAAAUAAUAAUUUUGAUAAAAUUAUUAAAGAUAUAAUAGAUUUUUUUGAAAAAUUAUAUUAACAUAUCUUACAAGCUACAGCAGCUAGUGUUCACCAAACACUUUAGUGUUGUACCUUUUAAGUUACAGCUGCCCAAUCUCAAUCUCAAACGCACCCUAAAUCAACAAUUAUUAAUAAAUGAUUUGUCAAAUGGUACAUCAUGUGGGAUACAAAAUGUGUAUCUUAUUGUAAUAUUACAUACGGGAAUGAUUUUUUUUUUUUUGUGUAACAAAAAGCUAUUAAAAAAUAGAAUUAUCUUGAAAUAUUAAAAUGUAAAAUUGAUAGAGUUUGGUCAAGAAGCAAUGCAAUAUAAUUUUAACGAUGAAUAAUAAAAUGACGAAGUUGAUCGGACUAAUGAUGGGAUCAUCAAAAACUUGAUAGCUAGGUCUAUGUUUAGGGUUGCUUGAGAUUGUCAAAUGAGUAAAUAUCUGAUUAAUGAUGGGAUGACUUAAAACUUCAAGUAAGCCUGAAGAUCAAUGGAAACUAAUCAAAGUCGCAAACAGCUCAAGAUAUUAACGAAACGUGGGCCUUUAGGCUUCAGGCAUAAAAGAAUGGUACUAAAUACACUUCCAGCUUUACAGUCCAUUUGUAGAAGUGUGAUUCUAAAAGCAGCACCUCUCUUCUUGGACAAACCCACUUCCAAAAGAAACCAUAAAAGCAAUGCAUAGGCCAUCUGUUUUUGCUUUUGGGCCGUGAGCAACGAAACUGACCCGCUCAGUUUGGUCAGCAACAGAUAGUUUGAUACUAUAUUGUGUCCAUAAAUAUUUUGAAUUCAAUGUACAUUCAAGAUGCUCUCUUAUGGAUUUUAAUUUAUGGUUUCAUUUGUCUCUUUUUCAUGUUAUACAUAACCCAGAAGAUGUGGACCAAAGGUAGUGAGAACAACCCAAUCAACUUAUUUAACAAAGUCAUAUGGCUAAGCAUACUUGUCCUUUUUGUUUUUUUUCAUUUAUUUUAUUUUUAUCUUGCCAAAAAAAAAAAAAGAGGGUGAGCAAAGUCUAAAUCAAUUUCUUAGUCUUUACUCCUCUCUCGAGAUUAAUUUAAGCUCGGAUGGUUAGUUAAAAGAAAUUACUUAAAAAACUAAUUGAUCAAACCUUGGGGCAAGUAUACUUAUCUUUUAAAACAAAGUUAGUUAUGGCUUUAAAUUACACGAAUAGUGAUUAAAUGCCAAACCCAUUUGCCUAAAAUGACAUUAUAAUACUAUUCUGGACUGCUAUCUAGUAUUGGUGCAUGAUUGUGUAGUAGGCAAAAGUUGGUCCUUUGCUAAUUUAACUCACUUGUCUUCAAGUAGGAGCUGCUAGCUAGCCCUGUUCAUGAUGCACGGGGCAAAGGGGUUUAAAGAAUUAAUAUAUGCCGACGUCUAUAGUCGAUUAGCAAUUAAUAAAACUUAACUUUCCUAAUCAACUUUUUUACCGUCCCUUUUGUCGGUAGGAAGCCCUUCAAUUCCUACUACUUUUUCCAUUAGUUUAUUGAUUAGAAAUUCUUGCCCAAAUUGUGCUACAAGUAAUAGACUAUUAGGUGUUGAAUCAUUAGUCAUAACUUGUAAGGAUAAAAUUAACUAUAUAAGUGGGUCCUGUCUGUAAUUUUUUUUUUCCCAAUUGAAAACAUAAUAACCCUUUUGGUUUGGCUUUUAUUUGAGUUUGAAAGUAACUGAGUUGAAUAUGCUGUUCUAGGGAAAAAUAUAUAUAUUACAGGCAUUUAAAUCCUUUGCUUUAGAACUUGACCCAAAAGGUGAGUUUAAGCUUUGGUCGCAGGAAAUUAACCUAUCUCGGUAAUCAAGAAUCUUAUAAACGAUGACCUUGCAAGCUUUUCCUGAAAAGAAUAAUGUCAGAUUUACAAAAAGGAGAUACAAAAUUCGUAUGCCAGCUAAUAUGAUAUCGAUAUCUGACGUAUAUCAUUUGAUUGAAUUAUGUUACAUAAUUGUUACAUUAAUUGUGGUAUAAAAAGGGCAACAACUCCUUAGCACUUGACAGUAAAGCUAACAUUUUAUUAUCUCUAAAGAAAGUUUGUAAAAAUUAUUAAACAACUUCCGUUUGUUGUCGAAGACGACCUGAAUAGAUGCUUUUGGGUUCUCUUGACCAAAUGAUGGUUCCUAAGAUGUAUAGAAAUUAACUUAUAAGUGCAAUGUAAUGCUUCAUUGAGAAAGUGAGAUGCCACGUUGAAAGAGACAUUCGGGUUCCAAGGGAGAAGAAUUUAAGUCAAGCAACUGGCCCCGGCGCCAAUUUUUUCAAGACUUUGAGAACCGACUAAAAAGAGAAGCUCUAACUUUAGAUAAAGAAACUCUAAUGUCUCUGUAAGAAAUCAUUAAGGUGCCCAGAGAUUUCAAAGUUUAAAUCCUAUAUCUAUUGUCAAUCCAUAGCCUAAUGCAUGCUUUUCUGAAAGAAAUAGGAAAAAUUAACUAAUGCAUGCUUUUCUGAAAAAAAAAAGGAAAAAUUAACCCAAAAAAAAAUCAAUGAUUCAAUGCUUCAUUGUAAAAGAUAUAGAUGCCUAUGGCAAUAUUGAACGAUAAAUGAUAGUUAACUGUUUAUAUCCUCGUUUUUAGAUGUUUUUUUUUUGCUUUCAUGUGCCCAUUUCUAAUCCCAUGGCAUGUGGUUGCUACAUAAUUCAAUUAGUAAAAUUUCUUAACUUAGAAUAAGAGAUUUAAAGUUCGAACUCAGCUCUUAGUAGAAAGUAAAUCUAAUUACUAAUUCUUUAUGCUUAACGGAAUUUAUUAAAAAAAAAUUCUCUUACCACAACUGCAAUAAAGUUUGAGAGAUUGGGAUGAAGUAUUGUUUUGUAUACGUCUAGAUAUGGACAAAAUGGCCAACAAAUAUUGAUUUAAAUUUAAAAGAAUGGGCAAGUAAUUACAUAAUGCCGCCGAGGCAUGCAAAUCAUAGAGUACUCUUAGACAUUGCACAUGCUGUUUCUUGAAAAAGGGUGGAAGAAAUGGUUACCAUUGAUAGAAAUUGGCCCACAUAGAGCAAAAUUUUGUGCUUGUUGUGGAGCUUUCAAUAGGAAAAAUUGGAGCAUAAGGUGAGUUCAAGAAGGGAUCGACUUUCUUGGGCAUGAAGUGAAAUAGAUCAUUUCCUUGGCUUAGAAACAAAAAAUCAUGGGACCUUUUGUUCGUCAAUAAGGGAAUGUAAAGGCCAUAAUGUAUAAAAUACAUGCUCACAUCUCUAUAUAGGCAGACCAAGUUCUUAUUAUGGUUUGUGGAGGGCCAGUGUGAUUAAAUUGCAAAAAGCCAAGAACUUGAGGAGUUGAGGUGCAUCGUGAAUGGCAAAAAACCAGUUGGUUUCCAAUGCUUUGUAGGCCUGAGAGUCAUAAAUAGAAAUUAAAAUUUAUAUUUUCUAUUUCCAUUAAAGAGAUUUUAUUAUCGUCAAUUUCAAUUCAAGAAAUUUUACCUAUCCAACCAACUAACUCAUAAUUUCUUAUUUUAUUUAAUUAAACUUAUUUUCUAUUAGAAUUUUUGUUGCUAGUAUAAUUAUUGGGCAAAUUAAUUGUUUCCAAAAGGGCAUCAUGCAUUAGUUCCUAUCAUUUUUGUUAACUUCAUAUAAUUAUGAGAAAUUCUAUAAACAGAUUCUUAAAGAUUUUAGAUUUACAAGCUAUAAAAUAAGAUGAAAAAAAAAUUACCUUACAAUAGUUGUAUGUUACAAUGAUCGUAAGUUUUUGUAAGAUAGACAGACUCAAUAUACGAUGAGUUAAAAAUAUCAAAUAUAUAUCAAUUAUUCAGAGGUAUGUAAAGAACAUUCAUUUUUUAUAUUCUACUAACAUCGUGUUGCUAAAGAAUAAUGUUAUACUAGUUUAGUUAGGAUACCUAAUUUAUAUUUCAAUUGAUGUGACAUUAUUUGAUUAGCUUAAGUGAUUGUUAGUUAUUAAAUUUUAUCAUUUCACAUAAUUUGAAAUAUAAACAAAAUAUUUCAACUAAAUAAAACAUAGCAUUACUCAUUUUUAAAAAUUUUAAGUUAUUGAAAAUAACGAAUAUCUCCUGUUGUAUAUAUAAUAUAUUAAUACCCACAGAAUGAUAAAUUUAUUAAAAUAAAAGAAUUGCAAAGAAUACAACUAGCAGCUAGUUCGAGAAGGAUCUAAGCGAGCCUUACUCUUAACAAAUUAACCAUUUUCAAAGCCUAUACCUAUUAGAAAAGACACUUAAAAAUAAUGAAUAAUCAAACAGAUCUGUAGUAAGGUACAUAUCUCAAGAUAAUGUGAUGUAAUCAAUUAUGAAUUUAUGUUGGACUAUUAAUGUUGUUGUUACACUAGGGUGUUAUAAAAUAUGUAACUAGCUUCCAAGGAUAUAGGCAAGCAAUGACGUUAUCUAGGAUAUAUAACAUGUACAUGUGCAUGAAACUCAUACAAAAGAAUAAAGGUGCAUGAGUCAUGACUUAUGUUACGAUCACCGCCAAUUUUUUAUUAUUUAUAAUAAUUUUAUCGUUAGACUUCUCAUAAAUUAUAUAGAAUAUUUAUAAAGUUAACAUAUAUAAGUUGUUGAUGCAAUAAAAAAAUUUAUUAUUAACAAAAAUUGUAUCGUGAUAUAACAUAUAUAAGUUCUUUUCUCAUACGGAAGCUUUUAUUUUAUUUUUUUCAUAUGGCAUAUUAUUAAACUAUAUGGUGUAAUAGAGUCAGUGUGGAUGCGCUAUUAAACUACGUAAAAAAAACAAAAAUGAGGACACUAGAACAUGGGAACGACUUUAUUAAAAGUAAUUUUCAAUAAAUCCACUGUGCCAUGAAAGGUUAUUAAACUUUCUGUAUUUUUUGGCACACGGUUGGCCCUUGCACACAUAAUGACAAAAUUAUGUCAAACUUGUGUUGCUUCUUUACAUUUCAUCAAUUCGUCAUCCCUACUCAAUUUCGCUUUACUCGUUUUUAUGGAAAAAUAAAUCAUUUGACAUCAUCACAAUUAUUUUUACGAAGAGACUAGUGGAUUAGAUUACACCGGUAGUUCAUUGAUGAGGAGAUAAAUGUGAGACACAUUUUAAAUUCAAAUGGCUGAAUUCAACUUUGCAUAAAAUGUUUAAAAAAAAAAAAAGAAUUUAUUGUAGUAAACAUUUGAUGUUUAUUAUGAUCUUAAGAACAAAUAUAUACAAACUGAGCAAUAUAGGUAGUCUGAUUUCUCAACAAAUACAACCUAGAUCAUAAAAAUUUAUGGAUCAAAAUCUCUCAUAAUAUGAGAAUUAAUUAAAAUAGAAUAUAAUGAAGAGAAAAAUCUUGAUCAUACAUAAAAGUAUCCAAAUGCAUGCAACACUCGUGAGGCUAUGAAUAGUAGAGGCAAGAUUGAUGAGAUGGAGAUGGGUCCACAUUGCUCAAUUAAAAAAGGUUACGCAACUAUAUAUGUAAAAUCAUUUCUCAAAUUAAAUGAGGUUUAAGUGAAUUCAAAAGCAAAAUCGUGCGGUAUAGGCCCAUGUCAUGCUCUCGUAAUAGUAAAUUAUCAUAUUAGGUAGGUUUAAAUUGGGAGAAGACUUAAAUAAAGAGAAGAUUAUGCAUAAAUUGUCUUAAAUGAGUAGAAUACUCGAAUAAAAAGAAGAUCCUAAAAACCUAAUUGCAUGAAAAUUAUGCUUAAUUUUGGUGGGGUUGGCCACCUACGGUCACUACGUUUCCUCAUUGCAAAGUAAUUACUUUUUUUUAUUUAAUUUAAAAAAAGGAAAGUUAUCAUUAUUAUUAAUGGGCCUAAUUAGAUAACAAAGAUGAAAAUCAUGUGACACUGUUUUAUAAAGUUUAAAAUUUGGCAAGUAACCCUCCAUAAAGCCCCCGUAACUUUAGACCAUUUUGUCUCGUAAUCAUAACAAUUAGUCCACCUUUUUCUCUCUUUGAUCUUUGUAAAUUACUACAACCAUCAAGAGUAAUCUUUCCCCCAAGUGACCUAUACUAUUUAUUUCUUUUAUAUAUAUAUAAAUAUAUUUUUUCUCUUAUCUGGGUUUUUUUAUUUUCACAAGACAAACAAAUUUUAUUUAUCUAGGUAGAGCACGUGUUGUGAAAAUCUAAUUUUUAAUAAUUAAAUUAUUUCUAUAACAACAGAAUCAACGAAAUACCACUCUUCACGGAAGAAGAAUUAUGAUCAUCACUAUAAUCUUUCGAUGAGACAAAUGAUGAUUAUUAAUUUUAAAUUCUUGAGCCCACCAAGGUCUUUUCUUCAAUUGAGGAUGCAUGUUUUUACUAUUAUAAUCAUGACCCAAAAAUAUACUUUCAAUUUUAAGACGAUCGAAUUAGCUGUAAAAUUAUGGACAAAGAUGGCAUCCAUUUAAGUGUGAGUUACAGUAAAACAAACCAAUCUUUUGCUUGGCAUGAGAAUAAUGAACGGCCUCGAAUUGGUGGGCUGCUAAAUAAACUCAGUUAACUCCAUAGAAAGGACAAUAAGCUUAGUUUAUUUCAUAAACUUCCUUAUUUUUAGAACUAACGUUUUUUUUUUUUUUUUUUGGGUUAAAAAUAGUCACACAUAUAAAAUAAUAAUAAUUUGUGUGCCAAAAGAAAAAAAUAUAUGAUUAUUUGUAGAAAAAAAAAAAGAAUUUUCAUGGCCAUUACGUAAACAAGCUUAGUUUAUUACAUAAAAAGGACAAUCACAUUUUUGUAGUUUUAGAAAUUGAUUACAUAAACUUACUUAUUAUCAGAACCAACACUUCUUAUUUUUUUUGGGUUAAAAAUAACCACACAUGCUUCUAUGAGCUAUAUCAAAAUGAUAAUUUGUUGUGUUUAAAAAAAAAAUUGUGUGAUUAUUUCUAGAAACAAAAUAAUUUUCAUGACCAUAACGUAAAAUAAGCGUCGCCGUCAAUGUUCGUAAAAUAAGCGUCGCCGUCAAUGUUCCCUCCCUCAAUCAGGAUUCACAAUUGUCAAAAUUGAUCAAAAUUAAUUAUACUAUUAAAUACGUAUGAGAUAAAAACAAACGUAACAAGUACUAUCAAAUCCAGACUCAAGACUCAUUUUGUCAAAUACAUACUCUUAUUUAAAUGCACGAAUUUAGAAUUUCUUUUUCUUUCAUGUGAAGUUGAAAAGGACCAGAUUCCUCUAAAAUAUUGCCAAACAAAAACCCAAAAAAAAAAAAAAUUGCAAUUCCUCGCAUUUCUUUCUUGCACGCUUAUCUUUCCAUAUCGGAGCGUAAAAAUCACGCGACAUAACUUGGCGCGUAUAUUACUCAACUCAAACAAAAAACGGUAUAAACAUAACCGUAUAUAAAAAUCGUAUAAUACAAAAUCUAAACUAUAUAUAUAUAGACUAACAUAUUCACUAACGCCGUCAUUCACGUUCUACCAUUAUUUUUUUUAAUUUUUGUAUUUACAUAAAAUCAGAAUUAAAUCUACACUACGUCUUACACGUGUCUUCUCCCCACGCAUGGGCCAGUUAAUACUCUGCGAACGAUCUAUGAGACGGUGACGGCAACGGUGACGGCGGCAUUGACGGAGGAGGAGCCCUCAAGUUUUCGAAAUAUUCCCUUAUAUCCACUCCACCACCAGACAUUGCUUUCUCCGUUAAAUCAUUCUCCUCCCUGGACGGAAUAAACGGCGGCCGUAACACAUCCGUUAGAAGAUCCCACCUCACGCCUUUGAAAAACACGUGCUCCUUGAUCUCGCACGCGCCACGUAGAUAUCCCAGCCUCUUCACGGGAUCCUUCUCCAGCAGCCGUUGUAUCAAAUCCGUCAGGGCCGUACGUUGCCCAACGAACUCCGGCGUUUUCAUCAGGACGUUUCGAAACGUCUCCUUCCUAUUCUUCCCUCGAAACGGCGUCGUCCCGUACAUCAUCUCGUACGUUAGGAUUCCCAAAGCCCACCAAUCAACAGCGAACUCGUGUCCGUCCCCACGUACUACUUCAGGUGACACGUACUCUUCGGUCCCGACAAACGAGUUGGACCGUUCCCCGUUGUCGAAACUCUGUUGCCGUCGACUCACUGGGCUGACCCGGGCCGAUUUUGUCUUCUUCAACCCGGUUUUGUUCUCGGGUAAAGCGUGGAGCCAUCGAGUUAAGAUUCUACGGUGUCGUUUAGGAUUCUCGGUAACUGGAAGUACCGGGAACUUAUUAUUAUUAAGGGAUUGUUUCUCGAAGGUGGUCUUCUUAACUAGGUUACGAGAGAGGUCGAAGUCGGUGAGAGUCACGUGACCCGACUGCCGAAUCAAAAUGUUUUCGGGUUUCAAAUCUCUGUAAGCAAUGCCCAUGUUGUGGAGAUGCUCGAUGGCGCAAAUGAUUUCUGACAAGUAAAAGCGGAUGACGGAAGGGGAGAAAACGCGGUCGUUUUGCUUGUAACGGAGGACGUUGAGGUCGCCACCGGGGCAAUAAGGGACGGCCCAGGCGAGGAACUCGUCGGUUUCUAAAGAUCCGAGAAGCUUCGGGAGAAAUGGGUGGGAGAGUCGGGACAGGACCCGGAUUUCCCAGCGGGCGCGUCUUUCAGCUUCGUGUUUUGCAUGGAGGGUAGAUUUGUCGACAACCUUGAGAGCGAACGGGCAGCGGGCAGUUGGGUCAGCUGCCCGGUCGUGGACUAAGAAGACCGUGCCCAUCGCGCCUUUGCCGAGGAUUUUUAGAGCUUUGAGGUUGUCGAGGUCUAAAGACGGCGUCGUCUGCGGCUGAGGUGGUGGAGUUGGCUCCAUAAUUUGAGAAAGAAAGAGAGAGAGAGAGAGAGAAAUCAAGUGAGGUUUUCUUUUCAGAGAGUCAGAGAGACACAAGGUUGGUUUUGG